UGGUGAAAAGAACACAGAGUGGAUUGGAUUGGAACGAUACAGAGAAGAUUAGCAUGGCCCCUGCACAAGGAUGACAUGCAAAUUUGUGAAGCGUUCCAUAUUUUU
Phodopus roborovskii (desert hamster) is the source of this 105-nucleotide small nuclear RNA. Lineage: Eukaryota; Metazoa; Chordata; Mammalia; Rodentia; Cricetidae. The record is from RefSeq and is a predicted model, not a curated record.